Felis catus (domestic cat) is the source of this 73-nucleotide transfer RNA. It matches the Rfam family "tRNA". From Rfam's summary of the family: Transfer RNA (tRNA) molecules are approximately 80 nucleotides in length. Their secondary structure includes four short double-helical elements and three loops (D, anti-codon, and T loops). The record is from Rfam. Lineage: Eukaryota; Metazoa; Chordata; Mammalia; Carnivora; Felidae.
GCCUGGCUGGCUCAGUUGGUAGAGCAUGCAACUCUUGAUCUCAGGGUCGUGAGUUCAAGCCCCAUGUUGGGCA